RNAcentral lists this ribosomal RNA (162 nucleotides) under Acaulospora colossica. Its description in RNAcentral is "5.8S ribosomal RNA". It matches the Rfam family "5.8S ribosomal RNA". Rfam says of the family: 5.8S ribosomal RNA (5.8S rRNA) is a component of the large subunit of the eukaryotic ribosome. It is transcribed by RNA polymerase I as part of the 45S precursor that also contains 18S and 28S rRNA. Lineage: Eukaryota; Fungi; Glomeromycota; Glomeromycetes; Diversisporales; Acaulosporaceae. The record is from RNAcentral.
AUUAAGACAACUUUCAACAACGGAUCUCUUGGCUCUUGCAUCGAUGAAGAACGCAGUGAAAUGCGAUACGUAAUGUGAAUUGCAGAAUUCCGUGAAUCAUCAAAUCUUUGAACGCAAAUUGCACUCCUUGGUAUUCCGAGGAGUAUGCUUGCUUGAGGGUCG